Molecule: long non-coding RNA, 1201 nt
Filed under: Mus musculus (house mouse)
Lineage: Eukaryota; Metazoa; Chordata; Mammalia; Rodentia; Muridae
Description: predicted gene, 49289
Source: RNAcentral
AGACAUCUUCACCAGCCUCUGUGAAUAGUUCAGUAGCCUGUUUGGCUACUGUGUGAUCAUCUGUAAGGUAGAGCGGCUGAUGCCAUUCAGAGUUCGGUUAGAAAGACCAGAGAUCAUAAGCUGAAUGGAGUCCUUGAGAAUCACGAUGAUGGAGCAGAAGAAAGGAAGUGCCGGGAGGCUGGAGAGAGGUACAAUAUCUGGGAUCUGCAUCUUAGAACUUGUCUUCAGGAGACUCACCAGAAGUCAGGCCCAAAGGCCAGGAUAAAUCCUUCACUGACUAGGAUGGAAUGUUUAGAAAUUUAUCCUUGCCAGUGGGAUGCACAUUGUCCAUCAGCAGUUAUAGCUGCAGAAGGGAGAGAGGGAACUGUGUUACAUACUUGAUGGCUACCAAUUAACAGUACUCAUCAGUGAAGAUAGCCUUUAGAAGGAAGACGGUGCCCCCCGGCCGUCAGAGAUGUCCAUCUCCACACUGGAAGCCGAGCCGCACUCAGGCCAGCUAACUUGUCAUCUUUCAUGUGGCCUUGUGGGAUGAAGACAUUGAAUCUGCUGUUCCCAUAAUGACCUUCAGCAGAGAACCAGUUCAGCAGCAACCUGGGUUAAUCAGAAGCCGCUGACCCUGGGAAGAUGGUCUCAGAGGAGCAAACCUAUUUUAAGCUGGUGCACAUGUAUAGGCAUUCGUAUAUAUUGAAGACAGAGGUCAAUGAUGGAAAUCAUUUCUCAGUCAACUUAUUUUUUAGCGUGGUCUUUUCCUUGGACCUGGAGCUCCCCGACAUUGGAUUACAGAUGUGUCUCAUCACAUCUGGCUUUUUAUGCCCAAAAUAAUAAAAAGAAGAUCAUGGACCUGAAGAGCGUUUGAAGAAGUCAUGGCUGCAAACUACCAAAUUUGGUUUGCUGAGCACCUGGGACCUGUGGUUUUGGUAUUCAUAUUCGGAUGAGGCUUUGUCUGGUAUUUUGUUAUUUUGUUCAAAGAAAAAAAAUUGAAACCAAGCUAAAGGGCUGAGGAGACAGCUCAUCAGCCAAGAGCACUUGAAGCAGAGGACCUGGGUUCAAUUCCUGGUGCCCACAGGGUGCCUUACAACUGUUAGUGACUCCAGUUCCAAGGGAUCUGACAUUUUCUUUUGGUCUUCCUUUGCACUGCAUACACAUUGUCCAGACACACUCAUAGAAGCAAAACACUCAUACACAUAAAAUAAAGUAAAAA